This 286-nucleotide unclassified non-coding RNA is filed under the name Hevea brasiliensis (rubber tree). Lineage: Eukaryota; Viridiplantae; Streptophyta; Magnoliopsida; Malpighiales; Euphorbiaceae. The record is from RNAcentral.
AUAACUGCAUUGAAUAACCAAAUUGAAAAUCUUUGAUGGAGAAGCCCAAAAGGGGCUCUUUCUUUAUUCUUAUUUUAUUAUAAGUAUUCCAAAUCAGACUAUAAUAUUAAUGUAUUCAACCACUCAAAUAAAAGGCUGGCUAAAAAAAUCCAAACAUUUGCGUUGGUUGCUUAUUUUAUCCAAAUCUAUUAAUUUUGGACAAUUUUAUCAAAAGUUUUAAUAUUGAAAAAAAUUUAUCCAAUUAGCAAAAUCCAAUUGAGGAUUUUGAUUUUUGCCACAGGAGAUG